Dipodomys ordii (Ord's kangaroo rat) is the source of this 2768-nucleotide RNA transcript. It is a transcript of the gene named RELT tumor necrosis factor receptor, with no coding region annotated. NCBI's taxonomy places the organism in Eukaryota, Metazoa, Chordata, Mammalia, Rodentia, Heteromyidae. The record is from RefSeq and is a predicted model, not a curated record. The transcript has 12 exons.
CCUGGUGCUCUGGGCUGGCCUAUGGACAUGGAGGAGGAUUGGGACUCAGCCUGCGGUUUGUGUUUGAGCCUGCUGGUGAUCACUCCCAGGCCUGAUGAUGAAGUUGCACCUGCCAUGCCAGCCCCUGUCCUGCCUCUUCGUGCUGCUUCUCUGUCCUCUGGCCACUCUGACAUCAACAACCCCGUGGCUGUGUCCACCUGGAGAAGAGCCUAACCUAGACCCAGGUCAGGCCACAUUAUGCAGGUCCUGCCCCCCAGGCACCUUCUCAGCCUCAUGGGGUUCCCGCCCAUGCCAGCCCCAUGAUCGCUGCAGCCUCCGGAGGAGGCUGGAAGCUCAGGCCGGCACAGCAACUCGAGAUACACUGUGUGGAAGCUGUCAGCCUGGGUGGUUUGGGCCUUGGGGGGUCCCCAGUGUUCCAUGUCAGCCAUGUUCCUGGGCACCUCUGAGUACUCAUGGUUGUGAUGAAUGGGGGCGACGGGCCCGACGUGGCGUUGAGGUGGCAGCAGGGUCCAGCAGUGACGGGGAGACGCGGCAGCCUGGGAAUGGCACACGGGCAGGUGGUCCCGAGGAGACAGCUGCUCAGUACGCAGUGAUUGCUAUCGUGCCCGUCUUCUGCCUCAUGGGACUGCUGGGCAUCCUGGUGUGCAACCUGCUGAAGCGCAAGGGCUACCACUGCACAGCCCACAAGGAGGUCGGGCCUGGCCCUGGAGGAGGUGGCAGUGGUAUCAACCCCGCCUAUCAGAAUGAGGAAGCCAAUGAAGACACCAUUGGGGUCCUGGUACGCUUGAUCACAGAGAAAAAAGAGAAUGCGGCGGCCCUGGAGGAGCUGCUGAAAGAAUACCACAGCAAACAGCUGGUGCAGACAAGCCACAUGCCUGUGCCCAGGCUGCCGCCAGCCUCCCCCAGCAUACCGCACAUCUGCCCGCAUCGCCACCACCUCCACACUGUGCAGGGCCUGGCCUCGCUCUCUGGCCCCUGCUGUUCCCGUUGUAGCCAGAAGAAGUGGCCUGAGGUGCUGCUGUCCCCCGAAGCUGCAGCUGCUACCACUCCUGCUCCCAGCCUCCUGCCUAACCCAGCCAGAGCUCCCAAGGCUGGGGCUAAAGCAGGACGCCAAGGCGAGAUCACGAUCUUGUCAGUGGGCAGGUUCCGUGUGGCUCGGAUUCCUGAGCAGCGGGCCAGUUCAGUAAUAUCUGAGGUGAAGACCAUCACAGAAGCUGGACCUUCAGGGGGUGAUCUCCCUGACUCCCCACAACCUGGCCUCUUUCCUGAGCAGCGGACACUUCUGGGAUGUGGCGGAAGCCAUACAACGUGGUUGAAGCCCCCCGUGGAGAACAAGGCUGAGGAGAAUCGCUAUGUGGUCCGGCUAAGUGAGAGCAACCUGGUCAUCUGAGGGCUGUCUGGUCUGAGCCACUUGGCCUGGCCCUGGGAGGUUCUGAAGGCUUCCUUUACAAGGCAAAAACUGCUGCGGGACUUGAGGACCAAGGUGGAAGAGCCCAGCAGCCAAAACGGCGAAGGCCAUGGACUGGAGGUGGGACUGUUCAUCCAGCGACGAGGUGGGCAGCCAGAGGGCACCACACUGAGUGCAAGAGCAGAUCGAGAUCCCCGCCCUGUCCCUGCCACCCCACAUCCUUCCCUGCAGGAUACCCCAGGCUUGUGCCUGCCCUGGCCAUGUUAUAGGAGCCCUAGGGGUCUGGGCUUGGCGGAGCUAUGGCACCUGUCCCUGGUGUCUAGACUUUGGGGACCUGCUUGUCCAGGGCCCCAGAGCAGAUGUGCCUCCCCUUCCUCUUCUGGCGGGGCCUGCAAAGGUAAGGGACAGAAAAGAGCCUGGAGCUGGAGGCUUGACUCCUGGAUUUGAGCCCAGUACAUGUUCUCAGCUUUCACUGGGUUCCAGCCUUUCUGACUGAAAUGGAGAGAGAACAGCAGCUCAUGCCUGGGUCCUCUCCAGUGCCCUGUAGGUUCUGGGCUGGGUCCUGCCAGGAAGAGCUUGACUCUGCUACCCCUCCCAUUAGUAGCUUUAUCUGGCCCAUUUUGUGCUGCUUGCAGGGCCUUUGCCUUCAAGGCCCCCGUGGGGCUGUUCAUCCAGGCUCCACCCACAGAAGGGGCUUAAAUGCAUGUGCCUGCCCCCACCCUGCUAUCUUUAAUGGAACUGAAAACUCCUCGGCAGGGCUGUGGUGCGGAGGCCUAGCCAGCCCGGUCACCCUCAAGGUCUCUGGAGGCUUUGGGGAAAGAAAUACUGGUGGGGCCUCAGUGGUUUGUGUUGUCCCUGUGGCAUUGUGUCUGUCCUCAGCCCUGGGCAGCCCAGGCCACUGCCUGCCCUGCUCCAUCUGUCUCCACUCUGGCUUAGCACCUGGUUAUUUAUGUGAGGCCGUGCAGGCACGGGCCCACUGCCCAUCCUGUUUAUCUUAUUUAUUAAAACCUGCUGUCGUCGUCCUCUCCCUGCAUCUCCAUCCCAUCCACUUGUUGAGUAAUAAAAGGUGGAAAUGGUGUCAUGAGGAGGUUCCUUUUCCCCCCCACCAUGCCUUCCCCAGCUCAGCUGCUUAAGCCCCACUCUGUGUCUCCCUAUCCUGUUGCUGAUAGACAGCCUUUCUUUCACCAUGCCUGGGCAACAGGUGGAGGAGUCCUUCAUGUCAUCCACUUGUCACUGAGCUCCCCAAAGGGCAGGCUGCCCAGUGUGCGCCACGUUCAUGUUUUAAAGUUGUCUAAUAUUCACAUUCUCAAAAGUAAAGAGAAACAAGUGAACUUAGUUUGAAUACUAUUUUUAACUCCGA